AUUAGCCAUGCAUGUCUCAGUGCAAGCCAAAUUAAGGUGAAACCGCGAAUGGCUCAUUAAAUCAGUUAUGGUUCCUUAGAUCGUACCACUUUACUUGGAUAACUGUGGUAAUUCUAGAGCUAAUACAUGCAAACAGAGUCCCGACCAGAAGUGGAAGGGACGCUUUUAUUAGAUCAAAAUCAAUCGGUCGGCUCGUCCGGUCCGUUUGCCUUGGUGACUCUGAAUAACUUUGGGCUGAUCGCACGGUCCUCGUACCGGCGACGCAUCUUUCAAAUGUCUGCCUUAUCAACUGUCGAUGGUAGGUUCUGCGCCUACCAUGGUUGUAACGGGUAACGGGGAAUCAGGGUUCGAUUCCGGAGAGGGAGCCUGAGAAACGGCUACCACAUCCAAGGAAGGCAGCAGGCGCGCAAAUUACCCACUCCCGGCACGGGGAGGUAGUGACGAAAAAUAACGAUACGGGACUCAUCCGAGGCCCCGUAAUCGGAAUGAGUACACUUUAAAUCCUUUAACGAGUAUCCAUUGGAGGGCAAGUCUGGUGCCAGCAGCCGCGGUAAUUCCAGCUCCAAUAGCGUAUAUUAAAGUUGUUGCGGUUAAAAAGCUCGUAGUUGGAUUUGUGUCCCACGCUGUCGGUUCAUCGCUCGUCGGUGUCUAACUGGCAUGGUUCGUGGGACGUCCUGCCGGUGGUGGCGAGCCGAAAGCGUGCGGCCGCCGUGGUUGUUCCACGUGCGGUUCCUGCGCGCCGUAGGCGGACCCCGAUGAAAUCCUACCGCGGUGCUCUUCAUCGAGUGUCGAGGUGGGCCGGCACGUUUACUUUGAACAAAUUAGAGUGCUUAAAGCAGGCCGGCUGCGCCUGAAUACUGUGUGCAUGGAAUAAUGGAAUAGGACCUCGGUUCUAUUUUGUUGGUUUUCGGAACCCGAGGUAAUGAUUAAUAGGGACAGGCGGGGGCAUUCGUAUUGCGACGUUAGAGGUGAAAUUCUUGG
This 981-nucleotide ribosomal RNA is filed under the name Tettigonia ussuriana. Its description in RNAcentral is "SSU rRNA". It matches the Rfam family "Eukaryotic small subunit ribosomal RNA", at positions 44 to 923 of the family's 1831-position model. The record is from RNAcentral. Lineage: Eukaryota; Metazoa; Arthropoda; Insecta; Orthoptera; Tettigoniidae.